GUAUCUUCGGAUAUAUAUGGUAAAAUUGGAACGAUACAGAGAAGAUUAGCACGACCCCUGCACAAGGAUGACAAGCAAAAUCGUGAGGCGUUCCGUAUUUCU
This 102-nucleotide small nuclear RNA is filed under the name Tropilaelaps mercedesae. The record is from RNAcentral. Lineage: Eukaryota; Metazoa; Arthropoda; Arachnida; Mesostigmata; Laelapidae.